AAAUACAACCCCCAAAUUACUUAUUAUAGCCCUCUUAAUUUAAAAAAUUAAAAAAUAAAAAUAAAUUUACUAUUAUAUCCUUAUAAGUUUAUAACCACCAAUAAUAGUAAAUGAAAAUCUAAUUUCUUUCUCUCAGCCACCCUAUCUCUUUUCCGACAAAAAUAUUAUCUCAACCUCCCUCCAUCUUUCCGGCAGAAACAUCGUCACUCACUGAAAAUAACACCCCUUUGUCGCUCACCUGCAAUCGCUGAAAAUAACAC
Molecule: long non-coding RNA, 260 nt
Filed under: Salvia miltiorrhiza (redroot sage)
Lineage: Eukaryota; Viridiplantae; Streptophyta; Magnoliopsida; Lamiales; Lamiaceae
Description: long non-coding RNA (SMIL_LNC010113)
Source: RNAcentral